CUCUCUCUCUCUCUCGGCUGACAGCCGCCGCUGUCCCUCACCGGCGACAUGGUCGCAGUAACAGCAACGUCGCCGCCAUGACUUCCCCUCCUCAUCUCCAAUCUCGGCGUCUCUCUCUCCCUCUCCUCUCUCAAAAACACGCCACAACCGAAAACACCAAAAUCUGCACUCUCUCAUCUCGAAUGGACGACGAGCGGCGAACAGCCGCCGCCACCGCUGUGAACGCCAUCCACCACCGCCUGCUCUUUCUCUAUCUUCAUCUCACCCUUUUGUCUCUCAUCUCUCAAAUCCCCAAUUUCUAAAACCCUAAAUUCUCCUUCAUCUCAAAUCUAGGGAGUCAUAUUUCUCUGUUUUCUCUCAUCUCUGUCUUCUGGAGCUUAUCAUUGUGUUUGGAUUCGAUGAUGGAAAUGAUUGUUGAUAAUUUGGAGAAGUCUUCGAUAAAGUUGGAGAAGCACAACUUCAACGAAUUUGGAGAAUAUGGAAAACCACAUCUUCACCGCCAAAGAUUUGCGUUGUUUUCUCUCUAAAUUGGUAUGUGGACCCAUGGUGGCGGUGGAGGUGCCAUACUGCCAUGGUCAAAGAUGAUUGGAUUCUAUGAUUGAAUACAUAUUUAGAUUUAG
This 620-nucleotide long non-coding RNA is filed under the name Salvia miltiorrhiza (redroot sage). RNAcentral describes it as "long non-coding RNA (SMIL_LNC011013)". The record is from RNAcentral. Lineage: Eukaryota; Viridiplantae; Streptophyta; Magnoliopsida; Lamiales; Lamiaceae.